RNAcentral lists this long non-coding RNA (4101 nucleotides) under Sus scrofa (pig). RNAcentral describes it as "lncRNA (ENSSSCG00015041909.1)". Lineage: Eukaryota; Metazoa; Chordata; Mammalia; Artiodactyla; Suidae. The record is from RNAcentral.
CCCUGGUGUGCAUUUCAUUCUAAAUAGGUACAUCGGCAUAUACGUUUGGAAUAAAGUUUUGUGACGGUGAUUUUUCAAAAUAUCUAAAAGUUUUUCUUCAGACAAAAAUAAAAACACCAAACCAGAAAAAAAAAAAAAAAAAAAACAAGUUAUGUCAAGUCACUUCAAAAUGUCCAACUUUAGCUGGGUAAAAGUAACUUUCAUAAAUAUUAGUCUAUAUUAAAUUGUGAAUUUUCAAUAGUCAGCCUCCAAUAAAUAAGACAGCAAAAUCUAGUUUACCAGCUUAGUCAAAUUGCAGUCUUCUAUUUUGAUAAUUAUUUUUUAAGAUAUGGACUGAAAUCUAAUUUUUAGAGACCUGUUCAUAAUAGCAUAUCAUUUGGAAGAUAGUAAGUGUAAUUCAAUUCAUGCUGUUCAGCAUUUUAUUUACCUAAAACAAAUAGGUUGCGAUUUAAUAUUGACUAUUUUAUUAACUCAGAGCAUCUGGGAAAACACUUAUGAUUAGGUUAAUUUAUGUUAUAUUUGCCCCUCAACUUGUAAAAGAUUAAUCAACCAUUUUAUGGUCUAAUUUAGGUGCCUAAUUGAAAACAGAGUCCAACACAUGCUACUCUGUCUUGCUAAUAAAUCUUGACAGCUUUGUAACAUGACGGUUUGUAUUUCAAAUUGUUGCAUAUACAUGCAGAUUUUUGAUCUUCACCCAGCAGCUUGAAGUGAGCUGCAUACUUGAUUUAAACUCCUGGGCUGAGAAAAUACAAUUACUUCGAAAAGGAUUAUCCCCAAUCAGAUCUUAUCUUCAGUUUCUCUUAAGGAAGGCAGAACCAGUCUUUGCCACCAAGUUUUUAGAAAAAGACUAGGAAAAUAGGGGAGAAAUCAGUUUUCUCAGCAUUUGUUAAAUUUAACAUGUAGGGAAAAUUGCUCUUUUCAGCCACUUGCUUUCCAGACAGAGAUUUCUGAAGCUCUGGGGUUUUAGAUUCUCAUUUUAAAGAAGUCUCCUCAAAGUGGUCUUCUGGUUAAUAAAUACAAGUUUGCCCUCUUGCUUGAUAUUUCUUUAAAUGAAGAAAUUCAUCCCAAGAGCUCUGGGGACAUCUCAUUUAACCCUGUGUUCUCCCACAUCUUUCAGCCUUAAAAAGGACACGUGGAAGAGAAUACAUGUAACUCUCAGUGGGGACACUGCUAUGUUUUCUCAGUCUUUAUACUUGAGGAUAUUUUUGUUAUUUUAAUGACUCCAUUGAUUCUCACUGUCCUGUGCAGGCAAAGAAUGGAAAGUACCCUAACGAUGUCAUUAUCCUCACUCUAGUUAUAAGCUAAAGUUGGAUGUCCUCGAUGUCCUGUUCAGAGCUGCUCUUCUUUUAAAGUGAAUGACAAAGUGAGCAACCUUCACAGAGGUCACUGGAGCUGCAACAGAAACCUUUUUGAGAGAGAGAGAGAGAGAGAGAGAGAGAGAGAGAACAACCACAACAGUUCAGGUUUGACCUCAUCCUGUAUCACCAGCAUCAUGUUUUCUCACUUGAGCAAGGGAGGCUGGCACAGAGGGACCUCUGGAGUAGGACUACCUUGGUUGGUGUAUCAGCAUUGCCUCUUUCUAGCCAGGAGACCUUGGGUCAGUUGCUUAACAGCUCUGUGCCUGUGUUUCCUCAUCUGUAAAAGUACCUACUUCACAGGAACGUAAUGAGGAUUAAAUUUGCUAAUCCUGUUAAACUUGAAACAGUGCCUGGCACAUAGGGAAAACAUUUAGUAAGUAUUACUACCAUGCUCUCAACCCCCCCCCACACUUUUUCCCAUGUGACCACAGCAUUAAAGCAUCAGCUUAGUUCGCACAACCAAAAAUGGAAAGAAGAGUCAAGAUGGGAAAGGAAUUUCUGCCUCUAUAAAGUCUAAGGAAUACUUCUAUAUUUAAAAAUAAUAAUAAUUACACAAUAUUUGGCUAACUUAAAUCCUAGAGGUCAUUAAAAUCUGUGACAAUCUGCCAAACUUAAGCCAAAUCAUUAAGAAAAACCUAUGAAAGAAUGUAUAUACUUAAUGUUAGAUCAAAGUUUAAAUCAAUGUGGAAAGCCUAAAUGUUUGAGACGGGCGUUUUUCCCGCUGGGCAUGUGGCAUGUGCGAGGUUCUGAACCGCCUCCCCCAUCCCAAUUUCUCAGACACGGUCACCCCUGGUAACCUAAGGUAAGGGCGGGUUUCACGAGAAGUUCCGAUCAACCCCAGGCGCCUCAUAAGCACCUGCUUUCAGAGGCCCGAUUCAAGAGUGAGUUGAAUGAUGAACUGGCAAAGUAAACCCAAAAGAGUUUUCAUCACAGACACGUUUGUUUUUUUCGCAGCGGUUGAGGCAGCGGCAAACCUCCCGUCCUCUGGCCGGUGGCAGGUCGGCUCCGCGUGGCCACUACGUGGGCUCCAUCCCACCAGGAACCCUCCUGUUGAGGCUGAUGGCAUCUCACUCAGCCACGUGGAAAGAACUGCAGUCUACGUGGGAGGCUCCAAGCAAACCCGCUCAGGCCCAGAGUUACUGGUUAGGCCCUUAGAUGGUCUGUGUAUCAGUCGAUAAAAUCCAACAACGACUCGCUCAGACACAGCCAAGACUUCCUUCUCCGACCCGCUACGAUGCUGACCUUCGGAUUCAGCCAUCGUGCCUGCAGUUUAACCCCUUCAAAAUGUCUCAGUGCCUUCAAAAUGUCUCCCUGCUCUCCUAUUUUCUAGCUUUGAGGAUUUGUUUUAACCACUUGUUUCUGAACUCCAACUCUGGCUAAUUAUUAUUUAUACUCUUCCCCAAUCUGCUGCCUGAUUGCACAGACGGAGCGGGAGCGGCCCAGGAGCGCGCCUCUGGCGAGCGGCAGAGCUGGGCCUGGCACACGGAACUCCGGAGGGAGUGGGUGGCGAACGGUGCCCCCUGGAAACCAGAUUUUAGCAAAAAAUCUCCUAGGUCAGCUUCUUCUCCCAGUGUGGUCUGUUUUCAAAGUUAACGGCCACCAUCAAAAUAAUUCAGUCCAACCAUUUGCCUAGACACCCGGAACAUUCCAAAUUAAUUUAAAAGUUUUGACUGAGCAGGGGAUUUAAAAGAUUCUCUUUUUUCCCCUUUGAGGGGGGAAAAAAAAUCCACCUACCCUGCGGCCACGCCCGGCGGGGCGAGCUGCUGCGUUUGCAGUUCGCUGGUCCCGCCGCGCGCUCCGCGGUGUCACCGCUUGGGCCUCCCGGGCGGGGUGAGUCCUGCUGGUCAGUGUAGAGAGGUGGCUGGGGACGAGGAUGCACUUCCCGACCCGGCGGCCCGGCCAGGCCCGGGGGCCUCCCAAGCCCAGCCUCCCCGCUGGCCGCUCGCACGGCGGCCCCGGGCACUGAUCCUGCCCGAAGCUCCCGGGCAGCGCUCCCUGCCUCAGGCGCGCGGCCAGCCUUUCCAGCGCGACUUCAGCGUUUGUGAGUCAAUCAAAAGGAACCGGGCAGGAGGACGGCGGCCGCCCGGCAGGUUGCGAGCAUCUUCCUAUGGGGAUUUCCACAGCCCGCCCCAGGUGCUUCUAGAACCGCCCGACGUUAAGGAUUCAGUUCUUUUCCGGCCGGUCCCUCCCAGCCCGGAUCCCAGCGCGUCCGAUCUCAGAAAAUCCCGGGCUGCCUCCGGCCUCCGGUGGCUUCUACCCGAAGGGACGCUAGUUACAGCCUGCCACCCCCGCCCCCGGAAUCGGCAUCCCCGGGGGAGGAGGAGCGGCGGUGGCAGAAGUAAUGACAACAAUACAAUCGGUGACAAUAGCUGGCAAUUAGGCCCCCCGCCUGCCAGCCAGGCACCUGACCGCGCCGGCGCAGUUGCUCCUCCCCAGCGCAGGAGAACCGCGCUGCCCACUGCCCAGAUGAGAGCACUGAGACCCGCGCGACCAGCGAGCUGCCAGGGCUGGGUCGUGCAUCCCGGCCAGGGGAUCCAGAGCCCCUCUGCGCAACAACCGGUGGCCAGGGCCCGGGGACGGUAGAAAGGGCUGACUGUCACGGCUGGCUAAACCUCGAGACUUGGGCAACUCCGGACAAUAAUAAAAACAUUAGGACAAAAGGGAGGGGGAGGGCGAGGCUGGAAAGAGAGCGGUUUUAAUCCGCUCGGUCAGCCCCCUUUUAUCUUCCAACCUCUCCCGGUUC